GCAAUCGCCCUUCGGGAUGCACCAGGCGCGAAAACUCUACAAUGCAGGCAACUGCGAUAGGGGAACAUCGAGUGAUCCUCAUAUUGGGGGUCUGUCCCACCGUCUAAAAAACGGUGGUUAGCAAGGGCCGGGCAAGACCGGUGCCAGCCGCCGCGGUAAUACCGGCGGCUCGAGUGGUGGCCGAUAUUAUUGAGUCUAAAGGGUCCGUAGCCGGCUUUGCAAGUCUCUCGGGAAAUCCAGCGGCUUAACCGUUGGUCGUCCGGGGGGUACUACAUUGCUUGGGACUGGGAGAGGUAGGAGGUACUCAGGGGGUAGGAGUGAAAUCCUGUAAUCCUCUGGGGACCACCGGUGGCGAAGGCGUCCUACCAGAACAGGUCCGACGGUGAGGGACGAAAGCUAGGGGCACGAACCGGAUUAGAUACCCGGGUAGUCCUAGCCGUAAACGAUGCUCGCUAGGUGUCACAACAGUCGUGAACUGUUGUGGUGCCGUAGGGAAGCCGUGAAGCGAGCCACUUGGGAAGUACGACCGCAAGGUUGAAACUUAAAGGAAUUGGCGGGGGAGCAC
Molecule: ribosomal RNA, 565 nt
Filed under: uncultured archaeon
Lineage: Archaea
Description: bacterial SSU rRNA
Rfam family: Archaeal small subunit ribosomal RNA
Source: RNAcentral